This is a long non-coding RNA of Pezoporus occidentalis (night parrot), 4427 nucleotides long. RefSeq lists it as uncharacterized. The transcript has 3 exons. NCBI's taxonomy places the organism in Eukaryota, Metazoa, Chordata, Aves, Psittaciformes, Psittacidae. The record is from RefSeq and is a predicted model, not a curated record.
UGAAGAGAAAUGUGGAAUGUAAAAAAACCAAGGACAGUUGGCCUCCCUAGCUUAAUCCAAAAGCCACUGUCUUCUCAUGACCCAAGUAUAGCUAGCAAAACUAGCCCACAAGGCUUGGCUCCUCAAGUGAGUUUGAGAAUGAAGCCUGUACAAUUAACUUGUGCAAAAGUAGUUUCCUUGUUGGAUGUUACAUAUAGUCUAUGAGCUACCCCUACAAGUUACUUUUGCCUCUUCAUUUGCAGGUGUUUUUGGCCACUGCUGGAACACUCGACUCAAGAAUCCAGUGAUUUUUGUCUUUGUGUGAACCUCUGUGUAAACACACACACACACAGAUCCUCUCCCCUCCUGUCCAGUGACACUACAGCUACGUUUUUAACAAACCAUCUGUUCAAGUGAAAGCAUCUGAGCAGUUCUUCACACAAAUCUAGAUGUGUAAAGAAGAGAAAACAUCUGGAAUUGUGCCUGCUGAAUGGAUGCUCUAAAACACUGCUGCCCACAAGGGUUACUGCUCCCUCCUUAACUUUGGGAUGGGUCCAAAACAAAUUUCCUUGUUUCCUCUGUGCUUAAAUAUACUCACAUCCUCAAGACACAGUGGCAUCCUUGUCUUUCCCUUGAUCUAUUUUAGAAAACCCAUGGUGAAAUACUCUGUUCAAACUUACCGUGACUAUUUAUAACACAAUUCUCUAGCAGACCAGUGUUAGAAGGGCCAUUAUUGUAAAACUAAGUAGUAUGAGAUGGCACAUACAAGGAAUUAACAGAAAAGCCCUACUGGGAGGAAAUUAUAGAAACACAAACCGCAUUUACAAGCGUGUUUUUUGGUUGAGCUGCUCUAAUCAUUUUACAAAAGCUGGGGAUGGGGCUGCCUAGGGACACGAUCGAGGUGUGCAGGUGCUGUGCAGCACUGAAGUACUGCUGGCGGAGAGGCACAGUUCACCAUCAGAGCUGCUCUUGCCAGGGUUACCACUGCUCCCAAGCAAAGCAACAAACAAAUGUGCACUCACAGAUGGGGUUUGCUGGCACAGCUGUCUCAGUCGUGAAUUGCACCUCUGAUCAAAAUUGAGAAUCCUUGGGUGAUGAGAUGGGGCUGAAACACAAAGUCAAGGUGUGACUCACACAAAGUCAGACAGCGAGGCAGGGACAUGAGCAGAGCUGGAACAGUACUUUCUUCCCUCAUUUCCCAGAGCUGCUGCAGACAGACAGCACUGUCACUGAACUGUAUAUUUCAAUGUAUAAUUACUCGCUUAUUAGCUGGCUACCUCAUCAUGCCAAGAAAGUUAGUGGGAAUGUAGAGCAAAGGCAUUUCUCCUCUCCCUGUCUUUCAGACCAGAGGAAAAACAACAGAUCAUGCAACCUGCUGGGAAUCUCCACCUCCUCCACCCUUUUUAGCCUGGCAGAGGUUUGAUUGAUUUCUCAGUUACAUCUAGUAUGCAGAAGAAAAAGAGCUGAUCAUGCUAGCCUGAUACUAGAGACAGGGACUCUGAUGGCCAUGGCUAUUACUGCUUCCAGAGUGACGGGCUGGGCACAUGUGCCUGGUGGGUGACCUCACACUGAGCCAUGAAGAUAUCGGGAGCAACCAGCUCUACCACACACCACUGCUCAGUACCUCAUAGAGGCGAAGGAAUAUAACACAGGGUGUCAACCUGACAUAAAGCAAAUUACAGCGCCACUGUAGUCAAGGUAAGUCUUGGCUUACUUGCUGUAGAGGUGGCACUUUUUAAAGCUUGAAAACGUAAUGGGUUUCCGGAGAAGUUUCUCCAUGCAGCUUCCCAGGUGGCCACGUUUCCAUGAAGGCUGAAGUGAUUCUUCUUGCCAAAUCAGCCCCUGCAUUCAAACUUCCCCAGGAAAACCAGAUGAGUUUUUUGAAUAACAGCAGAGCAGACUUCCUUAUUAGCAAAGUCAAGCAGGAAAAUUAGUGAAAAUAGUAUAAUUUUUAUACAGACCAAAUCAUUCCUAGAUAACAGAGACAGAAAGAAAUACUGCUGGUCCGACCCCCUGUUCUAAUCAGAGCACAUUGUAAGGAACAACCUUCAACCUUGAUUUCUGAGAAGCCAAUAAUAAACCAUUCAUUUGUAUUUCACGCAGAGCAGCGCCAUAUUCCAUCAGGAUGCACAAACCAGUAUUCUGAAGGAACAAUACGCAUUUGGGAUUGGAUUUAUAGCUGUUCAGUAGCCUUCAGAUUUGCAGGUAAACUAUAAUAUCUGACUUGCUGGAAGGUUUCAUGGCAUGUGACACUGGCACUGAAGAAUAAAUGCGUCUGUUUUCCCCCCUCUGAUUUUUCCUGGUCUCUGGCAUCAGGACUGAGGAAGACGGGAGCCAUGUCUCCACCCAGCUUCAGGAGGGACUGGGGCAACCAGCAACAUCCAAGAGACAGGGAGAAGCCGGUGGGAAGCCAGGGCAGGGCUGACUCAGGAAUUACUGCGGGUGGGCAGAGAAAGGAUCGGGUGGGAAAUGGCCAGUAGAGGGUGUGAAAGAGAGACUCUGGGUCGUCUUGAAGCAUGGAAAGAGAAGCCAGGAAUGCUGGAACGAUGGUGUGGGGGCAAGUGAACAACCAAAACUUGGAGAAAGUCAGCAUGUAAGGUAGCACUGCUGCAGCAUCACUGGGGCAGGGGCUAAUAGUCCCAGGCUGUGCUGGAAUGUGGUUCUGGGCCAUGGGCAAGGUGGGGGCAGGUUUGGGAGGGGAGCCUGGGCAGGGUCCCCAGUAUCUGGCAGCUCUGCCCCUUCUUUCUGCCCAUUCAUCUCUUACUUUUCUCCAUCCCAGCUUUUGGCAACCCCUCACAUGCUUUGCACCCCGCUAGAAUUCCCUUAAGGGAGCUGGAGGGGUUGGAGGAGCUGAUCAAAAGGUAAAGAAGAGGGCGAAAUAUGCCUCCCUCUGCCUAAGGAGCUGCCCUGGGCAUACCUGGUCUUGGGCAUAACAUGGAGUUUAACCACCUCAGCUGGCAGGGGGUGAGCUCAUCCCUGCUCCAAACAUCUUGUUUGGGUGCAGGAGAUGCAUCACCUGUGUGAGGUGUGUUGUGUUAAGUACUCUUCUUCCUUCACCAUGUCUGGAAAAAGUACCUCUGAGCCCCUGAAAACAGCAGACAUUUUGGUGGAAGAUGGAUAAAAAAGAAUAUUUUGCAGGAACCAAGAGGUGUGCUGUCUCUGCCAAAUGAGCAUCGGCCAAUCAAAACAUUACCAAUAGAGAUUUCUCAUAUUCCCACUUUUUUUUUUUCCUUGCUUGUCUUGGUGGAAUCACAUUUCAUUUUCAAACCGCAGCUCUACAUUUAUCAUCCCUGAUUUAGUAAAUUGCCUCUUGGAGAAGCAGUGUCUAACCUACCUUUAUUUAAGACUUUGCAGGAUAAUGUGUCUGUUGGACUCAGAGAGGCUCACAAAAAAAGUGGCAGAUGCAACAAAUGUAUUGAAAUGGAGGGAUCAAAAUCAACCUUUCAAUAAGCCUCUUUUUGUAGGUAAAAUAGAAGGAGGUGAAGAUACCUCUAUAAUAAGAGUUGGCUCAAGGCUUAUCAGCAGGGGUUUGAAAUGAGUCAUGCAGCCCCUACAUCCUAUGAGCAGCCUUUUGCCUCUCACUGCAUCUUUCCCAGUGCCUGAGCUGCGGCCAGCCCCAAUGAGCCCAGCGUGGCUGGGUGGCAUCAUACAGGAGGGAUCCCUACAGUCUCCAAACAAGAAUGUCAUUAGCAGUCUCUUGAGUGUUGCACCACGGAGGCUGAGGAGCAGCAGCUAUUGGGGACACACAUUGGAGCCACCUCAUUUGCAUUCCUUAGGAAGACCUGCUGGUUUUGGCAAACCCACUUGAACCUAUAGGUUACCCAUUGGCACUGCUGAAUAGCCCCCAUUUGCUCUGAGAGACACCACUGCCCCUGACCAACACUGGCCCAACCCCAACAGACAGUGGAAGCAGAAGGACAGUUUUGAGCUCGAGACUGGCCAAAGCACAUAUCCAGUGUACCCCACCACACAAGAAACUCCUGGCUGUUUGGAAAAGAGAAACUGUGUCAGCAGCAGCACCCUGGGUUGCUCUUUUUUCACAAGACUUAUCUGUUGGUUUGAAGCUGGUGCGUGGUUUCCUACCCUCAAAAGACUAUUUUAAGCUCUACAGAGAGCGGUUGUUGAACAAGCUCUGUUAAUACAGCAGAGCAGCAGCAAAUCCAUUUCACCUUCUUAGCUAAUGGCUUCCCCUCCUGGAAAAGAGAUUCCUGAGAAAAGAAACAAACACUGCUGUCUGUGCCAAAAUGCCUGACCUGAGCCUGAACACAGCGUGCUGCUCCCCCGGCAUGUGGGAGGGGAAGGGGCACCUCGGGUGAGCUGCUCUGCCCUCAAGUACAGGACUGGAGGCUGAGGGCUGUGGUCGAAGAGGUGAGCUGGUGCAGAAUUAUUGCUUUCUGUGCUUUGAUAUUUAUGGGAAAAAAUAAGGGAAACUUAGCCACUGUCAUGCA